Molecule: ribosomal RNA, 462 nt
Filed under: Halomonas alimentaria
Lineage: Bacteria; Pseudomonadati; Pseudomonadota; Gammaproteobacteria; Oceanospirillales; Halomonadaceae
Description: bacterial SSU rRNA
Rfam family: Bacterial small subunit ribosomal RNA
Source: RNAcentral
AACGAUGGAAGCUUGCUUCCAUGCAUCGAGCGGCGGACGGGUGAGUAAUGCAUAGGAAUCUGCCCGGUAGUGGGGGAAAACCUGGGGAAACCCAGGCUAAUACCGCAUACGUCCUACGGGAGAAAGCAGGGGAUCUUCGGACCUUGCGCUAUCGGAUGAGCCUAUGUCGGAUUAGCUAGUUGGUGAGGUAAUGGCUCACCAAGGCCGCGAUCCGUAGCUGGUCUGAGAGGAUGAUCAGCCACAUCGGGACUGAGACACGGCCCGAACUCCUACGGGAGGCAGCAGUGGGGAAUAUUGGACAAUGGGCGAAAGCCUGAUCCAGCCAUGCCGCGUGUGUGAAGAAGGCUUUCGGGUUGUAAAGCACUUUCAGUGGGGAAGAAAUCCUCGGGGCCAAUACCCUCGAGGGAGGACAUCACCCACAGAAGAAGCACCGGCUAACUCCGUGCCAGCAGCAGCGGUACG